Molecule: transfer RNA, 65 nt
Filed under: Escherichia coli
Lineage: Bacteria; Pseudomonadati; Pseudomonadota; Gammaproteobacteria; Enterobacterales; Enterobacteriaceae
Description: tRNA-Ser
Rfam family: tRNA
About the family: Transfer RNA (tRNA) molecules are approximately 80 nucleotides in length. Their secondary structure includes four short double-helical elements and three loops (D, anti-codon, and T loops). Further hydrogen bonds mediate the characteristic L-shaped molecular structure. tRNAs have two regions of fundamental functional importance: the anti-codon, which is responsible for specific mRNA codon recognition, and the 3' end, to which the tRNAs corresponding amino acid is attached (by aminoacyl-tRNA synthetases). tRNAs cope with the degeneracy of the genetic code in two manners: having more than one tRNA (with a specific anti-codon) for a particular amino acid; and 'wobble' base-pairing, i.e. permitting non-standard base-pairing at the 3rd anti-codon position.
Source: RNAcentral
AGGUUUGAGUUGNCAGUUGACUUUUAAUCAAUUGGUCGCAGGUUCGAAUCCUGCACGACCCACCA